CUUCAUCAUAUUAUGUAUUCCAAAAGCUGAAAUAUACUCUGUCCCAAACAUUUUGAAAUAUACUCAAACUGUACCUGUAUAUUUACAUUGAAUUAGCAAUGGAGGAUGGUAAGGCUAUUAUCGCUGCAUGUACAGUUAAUAGUAUCUACUCUAUUACAUUCAUUUUAUUAUUUAUAAUACAUGCUGAAAUAAUAUGUAUUUGUAAUAAACAUUUUAUUUAUCAUUAUACAUUAAUAGAUAAUUUACAAAUAAUUUACACUACCACUACUUUGCAGUUAAACAUAAAAAAUUUUUUAUUUUAUUUAACG
This 308-nucleotide long non-coding RNA is filed under the name Androctonus crassicauda. Lineage: Eukaryota; Metazoa; Arthropoda; Arachnida; Scorpiones; Buthidae. The record is from RNAcentral.